This 257-nucleotide ribosomal RNA is filed under the name uncultured bacterium. RNAcentral's name for it is "partial 16S ribosomal RNA". It matches the Rfam family "Bacterial small subunit ribosomal RNA", at positions 99 to 354 of the family's 1533-position model. The record is from RNAcentral.
CGCACGGGUGAGUAACACGUAUGCAACCUGCCUGCCACAGCCGGAUAAUCGGGAGAAAUUCCGUCUAAUACGGCAUAAUGCAUCGACGGGACAUCCUGUUGGUGCCAAAGGUUGAUUCCGGUGGCGGAUGGGCAUGCGUCGCAUUAGUUAGUUGGCGGUGUAACGGACCACCAAGACGACGAUGCGUAGGGGUCCUGAGAGGAAGGUCCCCCACACUGGUACUGAGACACGGACCAGACUCCUACGGAAGGCAGCAG